UAACUGCGCGUCGGAAUGUGAACUGCAGGACACAUGAACAUCGACACUUUGAACGCAUAUUGCGGACCGUGGCUCGUCUACUGUCCAUGCCUGGCUCAGGGUCGGUUUGACAUCCUUCGAGAGCUCUGCUCUCGCAUUGGGCUCUCCCGGCGCUCGCCGCCGCGUGGCCUCAAGAUCAGGGCGCGGGGCCGUCGGUCGCCCCUGCUGACUCUCGGGAGUGAAAUCCUGGGUCGGCGGGCUUCCGCUCCUCGCGUGGCCGCCGGAGCUUUCGCCUCUCCGCGGCCGCCCCCUUCUCACUUCGACCUGAGAUUAGGCAAGGUUACCCGCCGAAUUUAA
RNAcentral lists this unclassified non-coding RNA (336 nucleotides) under uncultured fungus. RNAcentral's name for it is "sequence contains ITS1". The stretch from base 1 to 104 matches the Rfam family "5.8S ribosomal RNA", at positions 50 to 154 of the family's 154-position model. Lineage: Eukaryota; Fungi. The record is from RNAcentral.